This 1745-nucleotide long non-coding RNA is filed under the name Anthonomus grandis grandis. RNAcentral describes it as "uncharacterized LOC126733434". The record is from RNAcentral. Lineage: Eukaryota; Metazoa; Arthropoda; Insecta; Coleoptera; Curculionidae.
GAGAAAAUAAAAUCUUGUACACUAUUAGGAAAUGAGAAGGUUUUAUCUACAGAACUGUCAAGUAAUCCAAAUGUGAAUUUUAAAGUUACAAACAGAAAUGAGUCGCAAAACAUGGAUGUUAAUACCACAGAUAAUUUGAGUAUCAAGUCUGAUGGUUCACUAGUGGUUCUAAGGAAUGUAGAAGUUCCACUUUUUGGAGCUUCAAGUAAUUCAAAUGUGACUCUCGAAGGUGACGAUUUGGACAAUUAUGAUAGCGACAAUUCUUUGGAAGAUCGGGAUUAUUCACCACGAACUUCGUCGCCAUCAUGUGGUUCAUCUAUCGCAGAGGAGUUGGAUAAUCUGCCUGCAACACCAGCUAAUCUAAACCCAAGUAUUUCGAUGUCAGAGAGUACUCAAAAAAGAAAGGUAAAACAAAAAACUCUUAUUAAACAAAGUGGGCGUAAAAGGAUGCGCCACAAAGAAAAUUGGCAAUCAUCAAUCCGGAAAGAGCGGUAUGCUAGUGGCCAAGCCUAUACCAGUAAGAAAGGCAAAGAAGUAUUAGCAAGACAAAUGAAAGAUGCAUGCAAAUGUCGGAUGAAAGGUUUUGAAAUAAUUUCAAAAGAUGAGAGGCAAAAUAUUUUUGGAACUUACUGGAGCAAGGAAAAGUCCGUGGAUACUAAACGACAAUACAUUCGUUCAUGCGCAUUGAAGUCAAAAAUACUCAACGUAAUAGAAGCAGGGAUGGCGUCCGAACAAAGAAUAAUACACUUGUCUAUAGUUUUGUUAUUAGAAAUAAUGUGACCAUCAAAGUUUGUAAGCUAAUGUUUUUGAACACAUUAGCAACAUCUAAUACAGUAGUUGUUAAUACUUUUAAAAAGUCAGGAGGGAGGUAUGGUGGAAGAAGAUAAACGGAGUAAACAUAUUCCGGGAAAUAAAACACCUGAAAAUAUACGCCUGCAUGUUAAACAACACAUCGAGGGCAUACCAUCCUAUGAGAGUCAUUACUCUAGAGAACGGACUGCAAAGAAAUAUCUGGGCUCCGAUCUUACACUGGAAAAAUUAUACCAGCUUUAUCUUGAGUGGUGUACAGAACAUGACAUUUCAAAGGAAUUGGUUGCCAAAAAAUGGUUUUAUUCAAAGGUUUUCAACACAGAAUAUAAUUUAUCUUUUAAGUCACCAGAAAAUGACACAUGUGAUGAUUGUGAUACCUUAAUUGCAAAAAUUACAUCAAGCAAAUCGGAAACUGACAAAAAUCAAUUGCAGAUUCAACAUGACGCUCACAUACAGGAAUCGAAAAUUCGGUACCAUCUAAAGCAUGAUGACAUAGAAAGGUCUAAAACUGAAAACCAUGUAAGAAUUCUGACAGUAGAUUUACAAAAAUGUUUACCCACUCCUCUUCUUACUUGUGGCCUUAGCUUUUACAAAAGGAAGUUAUGGACACUGAAUUUCACAAUCUACGACGCAACUACAGGUCUGGCGCAUAAUAUGAUGGAUAAUAUGUGGGAUGAAACUAAGUAAUUAAUCAUCAAUUUUUAUUGAAAGGCCACACCCAUAUGGAGGCAGACACAGUGCAUGCUGUUAUUGAAUGGAAGAAAAAGAAUUUAUUAGGUCUAGAAAUUAUGACUCCGUGGGACUGGCAGCAAUUCAUUAGGCAAUGCUCCCCAAAAUUCAUUGUAGAAAAUAUGGUGCAAGAUUUUUUUAACGUGAAAAAGAACUUUACGGGACUCUCAAAAACUCACCAUUUAUCGCCAGGAAAAUCGACACAG